AGAAUUUGAUUUUUUAGCCUUUUUUUAUUUCUCGCUGUGGGGCGCAGAGCGGACCGGGCCAGGCCGGCCGCGUGCCGGCAUCCUUGUGCGUGCGCGCGUCAAGAAAAGACUACAAGGCGGGGGAGAAAGAGCAGCAGCGGCAGAGCAGCGGCGACGGCAGCAACAGUGACCUAGUGGUGGUAGGCCUUGCGCUUGGCAUCGCUCCAGAAGGUGUCGGACCAGUCCUUGUGCUUCUUGUUCUUCUUGUCGGCAUACUUGUGCUUCUUCUUGUAGUCCUGGUCGUCGUCCUCGUCAUCGUCAUCCUCGUCGUCAUCAUAGUCCUUCUUCUUCUUGUAGUCCUCGUCAUCAUCAUCCUCGUCAUCGUCCUCCUCCUGGUACUUGUGGUGCUUCUUCUUCUUGUCGUCCUUCUUCUUCUUGUGGUCCUCGUCGCUGUCGUCCUUGUCGAGGGCCUUGUGGACGGCCUUGUAGACCAACUUCUCAAUCAGGCACUCGUCGACGACGGCGUCCUCGCCCUUGGGGCCGCGAGGUCCGCGCGGGCCACACUCGCCCUGGUCGCCCUUGGGACCCUUGGCACCGCGCGCGCCGGGGCAGCCGUCCUCGCCCUUGGGGCCACGAGGACCCUUGUCGCCCUUGUCGCCCUUCUCGCCCUUGGGGCCACGAGCGCCGUCCUUGCCGUCCUUGCCCUUGGGUCCACACGGGCCGCACUUGCCGCAGUCGCCCUUGGGGCCGCACUUGCCACAGUCGCCCUUCUCGCCCUUGUCUCCCUUUUCGCCCUUGGGUCCGCGGGGACCGUGGCAGCCGGGCUCGCCCUUGGGGCCACGAGGGCCAACCGGGCCACAAGGUCCGCACUUGCCGCACGGACCGGGAGCGCCCUUCUCGCCCUUGGGACCGCGCGGACCGUGGCAACCGUCCUCGCCCUUGGGGCCGCGAGGACCCUUGUCGCCCUUCUCGCCCUUGGGGCCGCGCUCGCCGUCGCAGCCAUCCUUGCCGUCCUUGCCCUUGGGUCCACGCGGGCCGCGAGGUCCGCAAGGGCCGCACUUGCCACAGUCGCCCUUGGGUCCGCACGGGCCACACUUGCCGCAGUCGCCCUUGGGUCCCUUGGGGCCGCGCGGACCGACCGGUCCGCGCACGGCGCACACCUUGACGCACUUCUUGUCGGGACACUUGUCAUAGUCGUCCUCGUCGUCAGUGUCAUCGUGAUGCUUCUUGUGCGCCUUCUUGGCGUCAUAGUGCUUGACGUCCUUCUUCUUCUUGUUGUAGUCCUGCUCCUCGUCGUCGUCCUCGUCGUCGUGCUUGUAGGCGACGCUACGGUCCUCCGAGUACCAGUCGUCGUCCUGCUUGUAGGCAGCGGCGGCGUGCUUCUUGUUGUAGUGGGCCAUGGUGAGAGGAGGCGGUGGUGGUGGGGGGUGCGGUUGUCGUCGGUGGGGGGUGAGCGCGCCGAGGGUGGAUGUGUGCGUG
RNAcentral lists this long non-coding RNA (1458 nucleotides) under Pandoravirus celtis. RNAcentral's name for it is "hypothetical ncRNA". The record is from RNAcentral.